GCAUUGGUGGUUCAAUGGUAGGCUUCUUCCCUCCCAUGCAGGAGGCCUGGGGUCAACUCCCAGCCAGUGUA
Molecule: transfer RNA, 71 nt
Filed under: Alligator mississippiensis (American alligator)
Lineage: Eukaryota; Metazoa; Chordata; Crocodylia; Alligatoridae
Rfam family: tRNA
About the family: Transfer RNA (tRNA) molecules are approximately 80 nucleotides in length. Their secondary structure includes four short double-helical elements and three loops (D, anti-codon, and T loops). Further hydrogen bonds mediate the characteristic L-shaped molecular structure. tRNAs have two regions of fundamental functional importance: the anti-codon, which is responsible for specific mRNA codon recognition, and the 3' end, to which the tRNAs corresponding amino acid is attached (by aminoacyl-tRNA synthetases). tRNAs cope with the degeneracy of the genetic code in two manners: having more than one tRNA (with a specific anti-codon) for a particular amino acid; and 'wobble' base-pairing, i.e. permitting non-standard base-pairing at the 3rd anti-codon position.
Source: Rfam by way of RNAcentral